Molecule: ribosomal RNA, 460 nt
Filed under: uncultured bacterium
Lineage: Bacteria
Description: partial 16S ribosomal RNA
Rfam family: Bacterial small subunit ribosomal RNA
Source: RNAcentral
CCUACGGGUGGCUGCAGUGAGGAAUAUUGGUCAAUGGACGAGAGUCUGAACCAGCCAAGUAGCGUGAAGGAUGACUGCCUUAUGGGUUGUAAACUCUUUUUAUAUGGGAUUAAAAUGUUCCUCGCGUGGGAUUCUGCAUGUACUAUAUGAAUAAGGACCGGCUAACUCCGUGCCAGCAGCCGAGGUAAUACGGAGGUUCCGAGCGUUAUCCGGAUUUAUUGAGUUUAAAGGGAGCGUAGGUGGAUUGUUAAGUCAGUUGUGAAAGUUUGCGGCUCAACCGUAAAAUUGCAGUUGAAACUGGCAGUCUUGAGUACAGUAGAGGUGGGCGGAAUUCGUGGUGUAGCGGUGAAAUGCUUAGAUAUCACGAAGAACUCCAGUUGCGAAGGCAGCUCACUGGACUGCAACUGACACUGAGGCUCGAAAGUGUGGGUAUCAAACAGGAUUAGAUACCCUUGUAGUC